This 301-nucleotide ribosomal RNA is filed under the name uncultured bacterium. RNAcentral describes it as "partial 16S ribosomal RNA". It matches the Rfam family "Bacterial small subunit ribosomal RNA", at positions 509 to 808 of the family's 1533-position model. The record is from RNAcentral.
CAGUCGCCACGGUAAAACGAAGGGUGCAAGCGUUACUCGGAAUUACUGGGCGUAAAGCGUGCGUAGGUGGUGGUUUAAGUCCGUUGUGAAAGCCCCGGGCUCAACCUGGGAAUUGCAGUGGAUACUGGGUCACUAGAGUGUGGUAGAGGAUAGUGGAAUUUCCGGUGUAGCAGUGAAAUGCGUAGAGAUCGGAAGGAACAUCUGUGGCGAAGGCGACUAUCUGGGCCAACACUGACACUGAGGCACGAAAGCGUGGGGUGCAAACAGGAUUAGAUACCCCGUAGUCCCUGUCUCUUAUACA